AUUGAACGCUGGCGGCAGGCUUAACACAUGCAAGUCGAGCGGAGAGAGGUAGCUUGCUACUGAUCUUAGCGGCGGACGGGUGAGUAAUGCUUAGGAAUCUGCCUAUUAGUGGGGGACAACAUUUCGAAAGGAAUGCUAAUACCGCAUACGUCCUACGAGAGAAAGCAGGGGAUCUUCGGCCCUUGCGCUAAUAGAUGAGCCUACGUCGGAUUAGCUAGUUUGUGGGGUAAAGGCCUACCAAGGCGACGAUCUGUAGCGGGUCUGAGAGGAUGAUCCGCCACACUGGGACUGAGACACGGCCCAGACUCCUACGGGAGGCAGCAGUGGGGAAUAUUGGACAAUGGGCGCAAGCCUGAUCCAGCCAUGCCGCGUGUGUGAAGAAGGCCUUAUGGUUGUAAAGCACUUUAAGCGAGUAGGAGGCUACUUUAGUUAAUACCUAGAGAUAGUGGACGUUACUCGCAGAAUAAGCACCGGCUAACUCUGUGCCAGCCGCCGCCGUAA
RNAcentral lists this ribosomal RNA (501 nucleotides) under uncultured bacterium. RNAcentral describes it as "partial 16S ribosomal RNA". It matches the Rfam family "Bacterial small subunit ribosomal RNA", at positions 30 to 523 of the family's 1533-position model. The record is from RNAcentral.